Molecule: ribosomal RNA, 839 nt
Filed under: uncultured bacterium
Lineage: Bacteria
Description: bacterial SSU rRNA
Rfam family: Bacterial small subunit ribosomal RNA
Source: RNAcentral
AAUCAACGCUGGCGGCGUGCCUAACACAUGCAAGUCGAACGAGAAAGUGGUAGCAAUACCAUGAGUAAAGUGGCGCACGGGUGAGUAACACGUGACUAACCUACCCUUGAGUGGGGGAUAACUGAGGGAAACCUUAGCUAAUACCGCAUAAUACCCACGGGUCAAAGGAGCAAUUCGCUCGAGGAGGGGGUCGCGGCCGAUUAGUUAGUUGGCGGGGUAAUGGCCCACCAAGACGAUGAUCGGUAUCCGGCCUGAGAGGGCGCACGGACACACUGGAACUGAAACACGGUCCAGACUCCUACGGGAGGCAGCAGUGGGGAAUUUUGCGCAAUGGGGGAAACCCUGACGCAGCAACGCCGCGUGGAGGAUGAAGUCCUUCGGGACGUAAACUCCUUUCGAUCGGGACGAUAAUGACGGUACCGGAAGAAGAAGCCCCGGCUAACUUCGUGCCAGCAGCCGCGGUAAUACGAGGGGGGCGAGCGUUGUUCGGAAUUAUUGGGCGUAAAGGGUGCGUAGGCGGUUUGGUAAGUCUCGUGUGAAAUCUCUGGGCUCAACUCAGAGUCUGCACGAGAAACUGCCGGGCUUGAGUGUGGGAGAGGUGAGUGGAAUUUCCGGUGUAGCGGUGAAAUGCGUAGAUAUCGGAAGGAACACCUGUGGCGAAAGCGGCUCACUGGACCACAACUGACGCUGAUGCACGAAAGCUAGGGGAGCAAACAGGAUUAGAUACCCUGGUAGUCCUAGCCCUAAACGAUGACUGCUUGGUGUGACGGGUACCCAAUCCCGCCGUGCCGUAGCUAACGCGUUAAGCAGUCCGCCUGGGGAGUACGGUCGCAAGGCUG